This 72-nucleotide transfer RNA is filed under the name Schistocerca americana (American grasshopper). RNAcentral describes it as "tRNA-Pro". It matches the Rfam family "tRNA". Rfam says of the family: Transfer RNA (tRNA) molecules are approximately 80 nucleotides in length. Their secondary structure includes four short double-helical elements and three loops (D, anti-codon, and T loops). Further hydrogen bonds mediate the characteristic L-shaped molecular structure. tRNAs have two regions of fundamental functional importance: the anti-codon, which is responsible for specific mRNA codon recognition, and the 3' end, to which the tRNAs corresponding amino acid is attached (by aminoacyl-tRNA synthetases). tRNAs cope with the degeneracy of the genetic code in two manners: having more than one tRNA (with a specific anti-codon) for a particular amino acid; and 'wobble' base-pairing, i.e. permitting non-standard base-pairing at the 3rd anti-codon position. Lineage: Eukaryota; Metazoa; Arthropoda; Insecta; Orthoptera; Acrididae. The record is from RNAcentral.
GGCUCGUUGGUCUAGGGGUAUGAUUCUUGCUUAGGGUGCAUGAGGUCCCGGGUUCAAAUCCCGGACGAGCCC